UACGUAGGGUGCGAGCGUUGUCCGGAAUUAUUGGGCGUAAAGAGCUCGUAGGCGGUCUGUCGCGUCGGUCGUGAAAACUCGGGGCUUAACCCUGAGCUUGCGGUCGAUACGGGCAUGACUGGAGUUCGGCAGGGGAGACUGGAAUUCCUGGUGUAGCGGUGAAAUGCGCAGAUAUCAGGAGGAACACCGGUGGCGAAGGCGGGUCUCUGGGCCGAUACUGACGCUGAGGAGCGAAAGCGUGGGGAGCGAACAGG
Molecule: ribosomal RNA, 254 nt
Filed under: uncultured bacterium
Lineage: Bacteria
Description: partial 16S ribosomal RNA
Rfam family: Bacterial small subunit ribosomal RNA
Source: RNAcentral